This 466-nucleotide ribosomal RNA is filed under the name uncultured bacterium. RNAcentral describes it as "bacterial SSU rRNA". It matches the Rfam family "Bacterial small subunit ribosomal RNA", at positions 28 to 485 of the family's 1533-position model. The record is from RNAcentral.
GAUGAACGCUAGCGGCAGGCUUAACACAUGCAAGUCGAGGGGCAGCAUAAUGGAUAGCAAUAUCUAUGGUGGCGACCGGCGCACGGGUGCGUAACGCGUAUGCAACCUACCUUUAACAGGGGGAUAACACUGAGAAAUUGGUACUAAUACCCCAUAAUAUCAUAGAAGGCAUCUUUUAUGGUUGAAAAUUCCGAUGGUUAGAGAUGGGCAUGCGUUGUAUUAGCUAGUUGGUGGGGUAACGGCUCACCAAGGCGACGAUACAUAGGGGGACUGAGAGGUUAACCCCCCACACUGGUACUGAGACACGGACCAGACUCCUACGGGAGGCAGCAGUGAGGAAUAUUGGUCAAUGGACGCAAGUCUGAACCAGCCAUGCCGCGUGCAGGAUGACGGCUCUAUGAGUUGUAAACUGCUUUUGUACGAGGGUAAACGCAGAUACGUGUAUCUGUCUGAAAGUAUCGUACGA